This is a non-coding RNA of Lodderomyces elongisporus NRRL YB-4239, 92 nucleotides long. The record is from Rfam. Lineage: Eukaryota; Fungi; Ascomycota; Pichiomycetes; Serinales; Debaryomycetaceae.
UUGAAGUGAUGAUUACCUAGAUGACGAGUCAGAACCUCGGGUUUCCCGUUGAUGACAACCUUUUUUUUAAUACCAUUCAUGCAUUUCUGAUU